GACGAACGCUGGCGGCGUGCUUAACACAUGCAAGUCGAACGGAAAGGCCCUGCUUUUGUGGGGUGCUCGAGUGGCGAACGGGUGAGUAACACGUGAGUAACCUGCCCUUGACUUUGGGAUAACUUCAGGAAACUGGGGCUAAUACCGGAUAGGAGCUCCUGCUGCAUGGUGGGGGUUGGAAAGUUUCGGCGGUUGGGGAUGGACUCGCGGCUUAUCAGCUUGUUGGUGGGGUAGUGGCUUACCAAGGCUUUGACGGGUAGCCGGCCUGAGAGGGUGACCGGCAAAAUGGGGACAGAUGGAGCGCCCGACCCCCGAGGGGGGAAGGGGGGGGGGAUGAGUGCACAGGGGGGGGAGCCGUGAGGCAGCAACGCCGGGGGGGGGAGGGCGGCUGUGGGUUUGAAACCGCCUUCCGCCUGGGAGGAGGGGGGAGGGGGGGAAGGGGAAAAAGAGCACCGGCCAAACACGGUC
This 468-nucleotide ribosomal RNA is filed under the name uncultured bacterium. RNAcentral describes it as "partial 16S ribosomal RNA". The stretch from base 13 to 373 matches the Rfam family "Bacterial small subunit ribosomal RNA", at positions 40 to 399 of the family's 1533-position model. The record is from RNAcentral.